RNAcentral lists this transfer RNA (72 nucleotides) under Lepisosteus oculatus (spotted gar). It matches the Rfam family "tRNA". From Rfam's summary of the family: Transfer RNA (tRNA) molecules are approximately 80 nucleotides in length. The record is from Rfam by way of RNAcentral. Lineage: Eukaryota; Metazoa; Chordata; Actinopteri; Semionotiformes; Lepisosteidae.
GGCUCGUUGGUCUAGGGGUAUGAUUCUCGCUUUGGGUGCGAGAGGUCCCAGGUUCAAAUCCUGGACGAGCCU